Poecilia latipinna (sailfin molly) is the source of this 627-nucleotide long non-coding RNA. RefSeq lists it as uncharacterized. The record is from RefSeq and is a predicted model, not a curated record. The transcript has 2 exons. Lineage: Eukaryota; Metazoa; Chordata; Actinopteri; Cyprinodontiformes; Poeciliidae.
AUCACCACCAGAUGGCACCGUUGAGGCAAGGUCGGGAGGACUGGAGUGCUGACGUCACCGUCACACCGGUUCCCAAUCUGCUCGUCAGCGGGGCUUCAAGAGACACCGACUGCCAGCAUACUGACGCUUGAGGGUCAGCCAGUUAUGGUAGCUCUGAGUUCUCCUGAGAUCGAGUUUGUGUUUCCUAGUGGAAUUGAAAUAACGCUUUCUUGUUGUCUGGGUUCCUUUCAGAUGUUUCUGAGACUCCAAGUCUGGCUCUGACUUCGAGUUUCCUUGUGACGCCGUGGAUAAAUACCCAUUGAUGCCCAAGACCUAUACUCACCUUCCUCCGUUGAAAACCUGUUCAGUGUCUGAGAUUCCCAGCUGGCAGUCCGCUCACUCUCCGUGACGCAUUCAUGUCCGACUACCUGUCUGGACGGCCUCCACCUCCAGUUCUUACUUUAUUGAUGCCGCUAACCGGGGCUCUCUGUCUGGUGAGAUCCUCCUCCAAGACUCCAACCCAGAUCCUCAGCACCCAAGCCCUGGCUGCGUCGUUUCCCACAAGACGUUCCUGUAUGUUUUGGCCACCACGAGUUAUACGAGAACCUACCUUGAAUACCUGUUUGUAAAUAAAUCACUUUAACUGAU